RNAcentral lists this ribosomal RNA (558 nucleotides) under uncultured bacterium. Its description in RNAcentral is "partial 16S ribosomal RNA". It matches the Rfam family "Bacterial small subunit ribosomal RNA", at positions 356 to 902 of the family's 1533-position model. The record is from RNAcentral.
AGGGAAUCUUCCACAAUGGACGCAAGUCUGAUGGAGCAACGGCCGCGUGAGUGAAGAAGGUUUUCGGACCGUAAAGCUCUGUUGUUGGUGAAGAAGGAUAGAGGUAGUAACUGGCCUUUAUUUGACGGUAAUCAACCAGAAAGUCACGGCUAACUACGUGCCAGCAGCCGCGGUAAUACGUAGGUGGCAAGCGUUGUCCGGAUUUAUUGGGCGUAAAGCGAGCGCAGGCGGAAGAAUAAGUCUGAUGUGAAAGCCCUCGGCUUAACCGAGGAAUUGCAUCGGAAACUGUUUUUCUUGAGUGCAGAAGAGGAGAGUAGAACUCCAUGUGUAGCGGUGGAAUGCGUAGAUAUAUGGAAGAAUACCAGUGGCGAAGGCGGCUCUCUGGUCUGCAACUGACGCUGAGGCUCGAAAGCAUGGGUAGCGAACAGGAUUAGAUACCCUGGUAGUCCAUGCCGUAAACGAUGAGUGCUAAGUGUUGGGAGGCUUCCGCCUCUCAGUGCUGCAGCUAACGCAUUAAGCACUCCGCCUGGGGGAGUACGACCGCAAGGUUGAAAUCUC